UACGUAGGGGGCAAGCGUUGUCCGGAAUCAUUGGGCGUAAAGAGCGCGUAGGCGGCCCGAUAAGUCCGCUGUGAAAGUCAAGGGCUCAACCCUUGAAUGCCGGUGGAUACUGUCGGGCUAGAGUCCGGAAGAGGCGAGUGGAAUUCCUGGUGUAGCGGUGAAAUGCGUAGAUAUCGAGAGGAACACCUGCGGCGAAGGCGGGUAGCUGGGCCGACACUGACGCUGAGGCGCGAAAGCUAGGGUAGCAAACGGG
Molecule: ribosomal RNA, 253 nt
Filed under: uncultured bacterium
Lineage: Bacteria
Description: partial 16S ribosomal RNA
Rfam family: Bacterial small subunit ribosomal RNA
Source: RNAcentral